RNAcentral lists this non-coding RNA (28 nucleotides) under Homo sapiens (human). The record is from RNAcentral. Lineage: Eukaryota; Metazoa; Chordata; Mammalia; Primates; Hominidae.
UUCAGAUUUUCGGAAGGUAACUUGGCGC